This 497-nucleotide ribosomal RNA is filed under the name uncultured bacterium. Its description in RNAcentral is "partial 16S ribosomal RNA". It matches the Rfam family "Bacterial small subunit ribosomal RNA", at positions 28 to 507 of the family's 1533-position model. The record is from RNAcentral.
GAUGAACGCUGGCGGCGUGCCUAAUACAUGCAAGUCGAGCGAACAGACGAGGAGCUUGCUCCUCUGACGUUAGCGGCGGACGGGUGAGUAACACGUGGAUAACCUACCUAUAAGACUGGGAUAACUUCGGGAAACCGGAGCUAAUACCGGAUAAUAUAUUGAACCGCAUGGUUCAAUAGUGAAAGACGGUUUUGCUGUCACUUAUAGAUGGAUCCGCGCCGCAUUAGCUAGUUGGUAAGGUAACGGCUUACCAAGGCAACGAUGCGUAGCCGACCUGAGAGGGGGAUCGGCGAAACUGGAACGGAGACAGGGUCCAGAGUCCUACGGGAGGCAGCAGUAGGGAAUAUUGCGCAAGGGGCGAAAGCCUGACGGAGCAACGCCGCGUGAGUGAUGAAGGUCUUCGGAUCGUAAAACUCUGUUAUUAGGGAAGAACAGAUGUGUAAGUAACGGUGCACAUCAUGACGGGACCUAAUCAGAAAGCCACGGCUAACUACGGG